UCCUAGGUCUCCAGCAGAAGCCUGACAGAGGGGGAGCAAACUCCUUGUGUAUCAUCUAUGGAAUGAGGCCUUUGCCUGCCAUCCUGACUGGAGCAACCUGCUAGUGCAUUCUGUGGGACUGGGGAGCAGCAGGAGCAGCCUGACAGAGGAGAGGAAACUGUGAUGGCUUUCAUUUGGUGACUUGUGAGAAGAGGCUGUUAUUUUAGCACAGGGAUGCAAGAGGAAUUCAGAAGGAAUGCCUGUUACAGCAAUGUUGUAGUUGUCAAGGAAGGAAGUGUAAUUAUUCCCAUUUUAAAGGACAAUGACUUGUGCAGGACAUCAGAAACAGAAGCCUGUUACUGAAUCCAUGUGCUCACUGCUGGUAUGGUUUUAUUCUGAGACAUAAACAUUUCAAGUAAAAUUUAAUAAAUAUAAAAUAGCUAAAGUUA
Molecule: long non-coding RNA, 428 nt
Organism: Pipra filicauda (Wire-tailed manakin)
Lineage: Eukaryota; Metazoa; Chordata; Aves; Passeriformes; Pipridae
Exons: 3
Source: RefSeq, a predicted model, not a curated record